UAGUCCACGCCGUAAACGAUGUCUACUUGGAGGUUGUGGCCUUGAGCCGUGGCUUUCGGAGCUAACGCGUUAAGUAGACCGCCUGGGGAGUACGGUCGCAAGAUUAAAACUCAAAGGAAUUGACGGGGGCCCGCACAAGCGGUGGAGUAUGUGGUUUAAUUCAAUGCAACGCGAAGAACCUUACCAGGACUUGACAUCCCUCGAACUUUCUAGAAAUAGAUUGGUGCCUUCGGGAGCGAGGAGACAGGUGGUGCAUGGCUGCCGUCAGCUCGUGUCGUGAGAUGUUGGGUUAAGUCCCGCAACGAGCGCAACCCACGUCCUUAGUUGCCAUCAUUAAGUUGGGCACUCUGGGGAGACUGCCGGGGACAACUCGGAGGAAGGUGUGGACGACGUCAAGUCAUCAUGCCCCUUACGUUCUGGGGCUACACACGUACUACAAUGACAACGGGACAAAGGGGCAGCCAACUAGCGAUA
This 474-nucleotide ribosomal RNA is filed under the name uncultured bacterium. Its description in RNAcentral is "bacterial SSU rRNA". It matches the Rfam family "Bacterial small subunit ribosomal RNA", at positions 791 to 1262 of the family's 1533-position model. The record is from RNAcentral.